This 186-nucleotide ribosomal RNA is filed under the name uncultured rumen bacterium. RNAcentral describes it as "partial 16S ribosomal RNA". It matches the Rfam family "Bacterial small subunit ribosomal RNA", at positions 341 to 524 of the family's 1533-position model. The record is from RNAcentral.
UCGGGAGGCAGCAGUGAGGAAUAUUGGUCAAUGGGCGCGAGCCUGAACCAGCCAAGUAGCGUGCAGGAUGACGGCCCUAUGGGUUGUAAACUGCUUUUAUGCGGGGAUAAAGUCGGCUACGUGUAGCCGUUUGUAGGUACCGCAUGAAUAAGGACCGGCUAAUUCCGUGCCAGCAGCCGCGGUAAU